This 24-nucleotide small nuclear RNA is filed under the name Arabidopsis thaliana (thale cress). RNAcentral describes it as "snRNA_09886". Lineage: Eukaryota; Viridiplantae; Streptophyta; Magnoliopsida; Brassicales; Brassicaceae. The record is from RNAcentral.
ACCGCAAAACAAGCUGGUAAAAGG